GCCUGCUGGCCUGCCUUCACUGUCCUGGGGGAGGCAUGGAGAGACCAGGUGGACUGGAGUAGACUGUUGAGAGACACUGGUCUGGUGAAGAUGUCCAGGAAACCACGAGCCUCCAGCCCAUUGUCCAACAACCACCCACCAACACCAAAGAGGUUGCCAAGACAACCUGGAAGGGAACAGGGACCCGUCAAGGAAGUUCCAGGAACAAAAGGCUCUCCCUAA
RNAcentral lists this long non-coding RNA (222 nucleotides) under Homo sapiens (human). Its description in RNAcentral is "non-protein coding lnc-MAGEA12-3:3". Lineage: Eukaryota; Metazoa; Chordata; Mammalia; Primates; Hominidae. The record is from RNAcentral.